Molecule: long non-coding RNA, 256 nt
Filed under: Ananas comosus (pineapple)
Lineage: Eukaryota; Viridiplantae; Streptophyta; Magnoliopsida; Poales; Bromeliaceae
Description: long non-coding RNA (ACOM_LNC020176)
Source: RNAcentral
CCGAGUCUGCAUGUCAUCCGGCACACUCAACCCCUGUACUUCUUACCAGUUAAUAUAAAGGCAUUCGGCUCUUCAAGCCAACCAAUUCCUGUGUUCAGUAGUCAUUCGGCUCUUCAGCCGACUUCAGUUCUUGCUUGGUCCAUACAUUCGGCUCAUUCAGCCGAACCAAAUUUACUAUAGAGAUUUCGAACCCGGCUGAUCCGAUCUCUCGUCAUCCUAAUCGCUUGAUCAAUCGAAUGGCGCAAACUUCGAGGAU